UAACUUCUUGUCUUCAUUUUACCCUUCGUCAUCCUUCAAAUCUCUCUCACUAUCUGCCAUUCUACUCAAAUGUAUGUUUCUCUGAAGCAAUGAAGACGAAGAAGAUGGCUCAGAUCUACGCUCUUUUUGUUCUUCAUUUUACCUUCUUGUUUUCUACUGGUCUCUCUCACUCUUAUUCACUCGCUAGUUCCAACAGCGAUCUUUCAGACAAAGAAGUCCAUCUGAUCCGACAGCGACAGCUUCUGUACUACCGCGACGACUUUGGCGACCGUGGCGAGAAUGUUGUCGUCGACCCAUCUCUCGUCUUCGAGAAUCCACGUCUACGAAGUGCUUACGUAGCUCUUCAAGCUUGGAAACAAGCCAUCCUCUCUGAUCCAAACAACUUCACCACCAACUGGAUCGGCUCAGACGUCUGCAGUUACACCGGCGUUUACUGUGCUCCGGCGCCGGAUAACCCACGGAUCCGUACAGUCGCCGGGAUAGAUCUCAACCACGCUGACAUUGCUGGAUACUUGCCUCAAGAGCUUGGUUUGUUAACGGAUCUUGCUCUGUUCCACGUUAACUCGAACCGGUUUUGUGGAACCGUACCGCAUCGGUUUAACCGGCUUAAGCUUCUGUUCGAGUUAGAUCUCAGCAAUAACCGGUUCGCCGGUAUAUUUCCUGCGGUUAUCCUCCAGUUACCGUCGUUGAAGUUUCUGGAUCUACGGUUUAACGAGUUUGAAGGACCUGUACCGAGAGAGCUCUUCAGUAAAGAUCUAGAUGCGAUUUUCAUUAACCAUAACCGGUUCCGGUUCGAGUUACCGGAUAAUUUGGGAGAUUCACCGGUUUCCGUCAUCGUUGUGGCGAAUAAUCAGUUCCACGGUUGUAUUCCGACGAGUUUGGGCGAUAUGAGGAACUUGGAAGAGAUCAUCUUCAUGAACAAUGGGUUUAACUCUUGCUUGCCGUCGGAGAUCGGACGGUUGAAAAACGUCACCGUGUUUGAUUUCAGUUUCAACGAGCUGGUGGGGUCGUUACCGGCGAGUACCGGCGGAAUGGUUUCGUUGGAACAGUUAAAUGUGGCGCAUAAUAGAUUCUCCGGGAAGAUUCCGGCGAGUAUUUGUCAGUUGCCGAGACUGGAGAACUUUAAUUUCAGCUACAAUUUCUUCACCGGAGAGCCGCCGGUAUGUAUCGGUUUGCCUGGGGUUGAUGAUCGGCGUAACUGUAUACCGACGAGACCUGCGCAGAGAUCUCCGGGGCAAUGUGCGGCUUUCUUGUCUUUGCCGCCGGUGAAUUGUGCAUCGUUUGGAUGUGGGCGUUCUGUUACUCCUAGUCCUCGGCCUCCGGUUGUAGUCCCGUCACCGCCGACAACACCAUCUCCUGGUGGUUCACCUCCUUCGCCGUCUAUUUCGCCAGCUAGUCCUCCGAUGGUGGUGCCGCCGUCUCCCAUUUCUCCAAUUCCUGGUCCUGUUUCGCCGUCUAGUCCUCCAACCAUUGGUCCGUCUCCUCCGUCAACUCCACCGUCACCGGGUUCUCAGUCACCGCCUGGUUCUCCUAGUCCUCCUGGUGUAGUUCCAUUUCCUCCUCCCACUCCGGUUUAUUCUCCUCCAUCACCACCACCAUCGACAGGUCACUCCCCGCCAUCACCCUCGCCGCCGAAUACAGCUCCGCAAGAAAUACCACAACCAUCUCCCUCACAGCCACCUCAAUUUUCACCACCACCAACCCCUUACUAUUACAGCUCACCCCCUCCGCCGCCACAUUACUGGUUACCUCCACCACCGCACUCACCACCACCACCGGUUUAUCACUAUCCAUCCCCACCACCUCCACCAACGCCAGUAUAUUCCCCUCCGCCACCUUGCAUAGAUCACUCACCACCUCCACCUCCGCCUCCGACCGUACAUUACACUCCUCCGCCAUCACCUGUUUACUACAACUCACCUCCACCACCACCGUCCGUCCACUAUAGUCCGCCGCCAUCUUCGCCACCUCCUCCGGUGAUUCACCAUAGCCCACCACCGCCACCUCCUGGUUACGAGGGACCACUACCGCCUAUUCCCGGAGUAUCAUACGCUUCUCCUCCACCGCCUCCCUACUAUUGAUUAUUUUCAGGCUUUUCUCGCAUGGGUUCCAUCAGUUAUGCCAAAACCCAAAACCGAAACGUUGUCGUCUCACAUCGAAGGAUACGGAGUCGUUUAUACCAUUUAUUCCAGAGGUGUGUGUGGUGGACUGGUGAAAGAUAUAUAUUCGCGAGGAGGAAAAUUAUCUAAGAUAAAUUAGGAGUUGCGGGGAAAAAGAAUAUGUAUAAGAGAAAUUAUUAAAAAAAUGGAGCAACUCAUCUUUAUGCUCCUUAUAUCUUUCAUUAGUCUUGUUUAGCUUAUAUAAUAAAAAUCAUUGUUGCUUAAACUGUUUUGUAUUUUUGUCUUAUAAAUUAAACUAUCUUUUUGAAAUUUCUUUUUCAUAUGAGUAUUUUUAAUAGAAAUUCUCACUCCUAUUAAUCAGUAUAUCUUAACUACAUUAAACUGGUAUGUGAUUGAAUUCGCUCUAAAGUGAUAAACCAAGUAGGGCUAAUGUAUGUGCACUUGCACCUCCUGACUACUUACAUAGUGAUAUUAUUUCUGUUGGUAUAUGGAUAGUUCCAAGAUAGUUCUAACACCAAUUUUAGUUCAGCUCUAUUUUUUAUUUUGUAACGGAAGAAUUUUAAAUUACAGAUGAUAUUUUGUUAUAGUAUUUUCAUUGAGAACCCAUGUUUAUUUAUGAUAAAUUUUAUGUUUUUCAUUUUAUAAAAAAUGCUAUUUUUACUUUAAAUAUCGAAAAAUAACACUACAUCUUUCCUUUUGUCUUUCUUCAAUGCAUCUUCUAUCUUAACUCAAUUAACACCAUCUUUCUAUAUUAACUUAAAUUCGAUUAUUUUUAUAAGUAAUUUAGAGGAUCUAUAGUUACGUUGUCUAUUAGAUCUAAUCUUCAGAUUUUUGAAAACUAACCAAUCUAGAUUUGCAAGAACCAUUCUACAUAAGUUCAAAAAAAAAAAAAAGAACCAUUCUACAUAUUAUUUGAGGCUACGAUUCAGAUUUCAUUUGAAUAUCCAAAGAUAAAAUUUAUUCAUGGACUCCAUUUCAAUUUAGAGACUAAACUAAACACUUCUAUAGAUUUAUUCAUGAACUUUUAUAAAUUCGCCUUUUUGUACCUCUGAACUUCGUACAUUGGACUAAUUUUAAUAUUGAUGAAGAAAUUAAAAAAUUUCUACACAUUAAAUUUUAAUAUUGCAUAUAGUUUAAAAAUUAGAUUCUUAAAAUUUUGUUUUAGUAAAAAAAAAUUUAUAUUUAAUAUAACCUUUCAAACUUAUUUUAAUAUACUAUCUUACUUAUAUGUAAGUAUAUUUACUAAUUUAUAAAACUAUCAUAAUUAUAUAUCUUUACAAAGAAUUUUCAAAAUUAGUUUUUGUGGUCCAACUAUGUGUCCAAUCUUUUUAUUUACUUUUUAAAACAUUAUUAUAUCGAUCGGACUUAUAAUAAUCUUAUUGCCAACUGUCCAGUCUAAACCGUUUUAUCGCCACGUGGUAAAUUUACCGUGACCAGUACGUUUUGUUUGUCAUUUUCAUCUAUCCUAUAAUUUCCGGAUGUUACCGCCACCAUUCGCAGCCGCACGUCGACAUACGUUUGAUAUAGGAGCAAAUGUAACUUAUUACACCACACGUGUAUGGGUACUGACUACAGAGUAUCUACUUAUCACCCUCUAAUCUACGUAUUAAAAUACUUUAGUAAAUACGAGAACAAAAUAGGAAUUCAAAAACGAAGAUUUUAUAUUAUAUAAUGCCAAGAUUAGUAUAGUCUUGUUGUUAUUAUCCUCUACUACAUAUUUGAUAACGUCCGACCUACAAAGUUUACCCUCCUGAAAAUUCUCCACCGGAAUCAUCACCACAAGCUUCAAGAAGGCGACGUUCUCUCUGAUUUAAUAAUUCAUCUUGCUUUUCAAAGUGUAAUAAAAUAAGAGUGCACAGAGAGAGUAUAUGCGUGUAGGGCUGAGCUGUGAAAGACCUGUCCUCUCUCUCUAAUAAUUCUCUCUUUCACACUGUUGUUUUCUAACUUCUUGUCUUCAUUUUACCCUUCGUCAUCCUUCAAAUCUCUCUCACUAUCUGCCAUUCUACUCAAAUGUAUGUUUCUCUGAAGCAAUGAAGACGAAGAAGAUGGCUCAGAUCUACGCUCUUUUUGUUCUUCAUUUUACCUUCUUGUUUUCUACUGGUCUCUCUCACUCUUAUUCACUCGCUAGUUCCAACAGCGAUCUUUCAGACAAAGAAGACCAUCUGAUCCGACAGCGACAGCUUCUGUACUACCGCGACGACUUUGGCGACCGUGGAGAGAAUGUUGUCGUCG
RNAcentral lists this long non-coding RNA (4352 nucleotides) under Brassica napus (rape). RNAcentral's name for it is "long non-coding RNA (BNAP_LNC025418)". The record is from RNAcentral. Lineage: Eukaryota; Viridiplantae; Streptophyta; Magnoliopsida; Brassicales; Brassicaceae.